RNAcentral lists this transfer RNA (539 nucleotides) under uncultured cyanobacterium. RNAcentral describes it as "partial miscellaneous RNA". The stretch from base 211 to 283 matches the Rfam family "tRNA". The record is from RNAcentral. Lineage: Bacteria; Bacillati; Cyanobacteriota.
CAGGGAGACAACAAAAUGUUUAAUAUUAUUAUUUUGUCACCUUAGGUCGAUCGGUAUCUCACGUUUUUAAUUUAUUAAGAAUUUCAUUUCCUAAGUUUUUCUAGGUCACACCCAUUAUUUUUCCUGGGCCAUUAGCUCAGGUGGUUAGAGCGCACCCCUGAUAAGGGUGAGGUCCCUGGUUCAAGUCCAGGAUGGCCCAUACUCUAUGUUGGGGGUAUAGCUCAGUUGGUAAAGCGCCUGCUUUGCAAGCAGGAUGUCAGCGGUUCGAGUCCGCUUACCUCCACUGAUCACCACCUCUUCCAUAACCGGUAGAAAGGAAAUUUUUUGAGUUGUGAUCAAAUCCUGAAAGAAUCUAGCUUCCUAAUGAAAUCAUUAAGAUGCUGGACUCAUUGAAUUUAUUUCACUGUUUUCAGAGAACUUUGACAACUGCAUAGAUUAUUUUAAAGACAAUAAGCAUCUUUAAUGAUGCAGAUUUAUUAUUUUUGCAAAUGCAUUAAUGACAAUUCUAUUAAGCUGAUGCUUCAAUAUUUGAAGUUAUU